GAAAGCCUUCUUCCUUUCUUCCAUUUAUCGAACCAAAAGAAAAGAAAAAACCCAACAACAUUCUUCGCUUACUAGCUACGCAUAUAUACGGAGAAUCAGUUUGUUCUCUCAUCAAAACCAAAAUCCAACCUGAAAAAACCACCACUUUAAACAACCCCUUUUUUCUGCUUCUUUCUCCCUCCAGAUUCAUUGGUUUUUUUCCCAUUUUCUGCUCUCAAUUUU
RNAcentral lists this unclassified non-coding RNA (222 nucleotides) under Hevea brasiliensis (rubber tree). Lineage: Eukaryota; Viridiplantae; Streptophyta; Magnoliopsida; Malpighiales; Euphorbiaceae. The record is from RNAcentral.